GCGCGCGCCUGCCGCACCGCCUCACAGGGCAGGGCUCCCUCAGUGCUGCAGGCGCGCUGUGACACGGGUCACCCCCAGCCCUUGGCCUGGAGGAACAAAAGGGCCCGCUGUGAUAAUCAUCUCUGAUCUGGAGAUAAUUUCCUACGUGCUCUGAGGGGCCGUUUCCUGCCUCUUCAUAGCCCUGUUCCCAGAUAACGGGGUCAAAGCCCAGCCUGGCCCAGGCGGCAGGGAAGAUGGUGUCGCAGCCGCUGAAGAGGAAGGAAACCCCGGAAAGGACUCAGCAGGGCUCGGGGGCAGCGCUUGGCACACGGGGCGGAUGAGCUGUUUGAAUUUCAGAGGGAGAUUGGCGCCGAGGGCCCAGACAGGCACCGAGCUGUGAGUCACGUCCCGGGGGCCGGCAGCGCCGCCCGGCCUGUCCAGCCACAGUGGGCAAGGCCGUGACAAAACAGCUGCGCUGCUCCCCGGAGGUGUAGAAACCUCUGCAGACGGUGUGAUUUUAGCUCAGCCUUGUGACUUCGUUUAAUUUGUGCUUUUGGUACUCGUUUUGCUUCAACGUGAAAUGAAGCAGCACUUGGAAAAAAAAAAAAAGUCAGUUAAAAUGGAGAAAGAGAUUUAAGAUGCCUGUCUCGAAGCUCCUGACUGGACUGUUGUGCAGUGUUAUUCCUGCUUUGAUGUCUUUCUUUCAUGCCCUGCCUUUUCCAAAAGUUCAGUCAUUACACAGUCAUUUUUUUCCUCUUUGUUCCUCAUCCUACGUUGGCAGCCAGUGCCAGCUGAGGUGUCUGGAUUGGGACAUAUGGGCUGUGUCUCUGCAGACAUUUAGCAGAGUUCAAAUCAUCUAAAAUGGAAGACUUCUUCAGUCCAGUGUCAUGUUUUAGACAAAACCAUCCAGGAAAAGUCUCAUCAUUAAGAUGAAAGGAUCUUAAAGCAGCCCCUGACUCCAUGUGCAGGUAUCAUUUUACCAGCCGCUGACACACAGCCAUCUCCUGGGUGGAAAACAACAGCUGUUAGUCAUGUACAGCAAAACAGUGACCUAGAGAUGAAUAAUUACAUCUGAAAAUUCACAUCAGUUGCCAGCAACUCACAUCUAUGCAAAAAAAAUUCAUCCAUUACUAGGAAAUCUUACUUAGAAGCUAUACCUCUGAUCCAUUCCUGCUGGCUUAAGUGCUGGUGUCUGCCAGUAAGAGUCAGUUUUAAACACCUGUAGACAGGCUACAAUAGAAUAUGAAGGUUAAGAUGUUUUCUUGUGUCAUUUGAACAGAUCUGGCUUGUUUGCUGUUUGACCAUGGCCAAAACACAGAUUAAAAGAUAGCACUUUGCAAUAAUAUACUAAAUAAAUACUUGCAAUAAUAUAUUAAAUAAAAAUUUAAAAUAAUUACAAAAGCUGUAAGUUAGCAGCAGAUUUAGUAACUCAUAGUAUGUAAAAAGUAAAUAAAAAUUCCUGCUGCUUCAUUUGAUUGAAUUACAAUUUUUGUUAAAAUAAAAAUCAGAUAUGCACAGUGAUUUUGCCUCCAUUUUGUACAGAUAAUACUAGAAUCUCAAAAUAGCUGGAACAUGUCAGAAAUAAGUAGUAUUAAUUAUAAACCAGUUUUUGUGCAGUACUGUGUGGAGCUGGACUGCUGCUGAAGAACCAACACACCCACCCUCCCAUCCAGACAGGAUUCUAAGGCAUGGAGAGGUUUUCAGUUUGGGAGGAACUUCCAAAUUAGAUGUUCUGAACUUAUAUUUAUGCAGGCUGUGUGCAUCCCUCAAGUAAUUCCCUCCUCAGUUUUAGCAACUGUGGUUAAACUAAACCAGACAUUUUAGGUAAAAGAUCCCACAUUCUACUUCCAUAUGAGAAAAAGGUGAUUUGUGCAUCAUUAAUGUUUUCUGAUAAGACUGGGCUUCAAUUCCCUAGACUGCAGACAAUCAUCUCAGGUGUAUUACAUCCCUACAAAUGCAUUUGGUUUAGGAAGAAUGGAUGCAUGGCUGGUGCCACUUUUCCUUUUUGGUACAUGUAAAUACCUUUAUGCUCUUUGACUUUACCUGUUGGCAGCUGAGCAUGGCCAGUUUUAGUGCAGAGGAGCUCAAAAGUGCAUCAGCUGCCCAUGAAACAGAACAAAACCUCAGCUGGCAGAAUAUUCCCUUGAGAAGGCCCUGUACCUCUCUCCCUGUGCCCAGCUGUUCCUUCUUCCUUUCACCAAAGCUUUGGAUCCCAUCAGUUGGGCUGAGUGCCAAAUAAAUUGUACAUGUGGCUCAUCCCUAAGUGAGGAGAAGUAAAUUUCUGUCAAGGGUACAGAAUAAGAAUCCUUAUUUUGUUUCAAAUCAAGUACUGGGUAUGCUUCCAAUGCAAAAUUAACAACCCUAAUUUAAACUAGGAGGAAAAUGGGAAAGGAUAUGUUGGAUUUGGAAGUAGACAGCUGGAGAAGAAAUACAGUAGUGAAAGCAGUUAUGAAACAAAACUGAAGCAAUCACAAUCACUUCUGCAAAUGUGGAGGCUGAAAUACUUCAGGAUACAAGUCCACUAAUUACAAAUCUGGCAAAUAUGCCUGUACAGCUUUACCUCUGUGCUGGCAGGAAAUAGGAAAAUAGAUCAUCAAGGAAGCUAAUUACUAUUCUUCUGGACUUCCUAAUGUAUCAGCAGUUUAAGUGUUGGUAUUUUGAUCACUCAGUUCUGGAAGAGCUGUUUGAUUGUUCUCUCACAGACCAGAAAUAACUUAAAGCUUUCUUAGUUCAUUGUCCAUCUGUCCACAAUGUCUUGUUUUAAACUGGCUCAGAGAGCUUACUGUAAAAAAAAAAAUAGCCUUUUACUGUCAGAUACAAGAUUGACAUAUUUAGGACACCAGAGAAUUUAUAAAUUAAAAAACCCACAGAAUCAGCUGGAAAUCCCUAUGAGUAAAUGUUUUUCUUAAGGUAACAGAAAGCUUAAGUGGGCUCGUGAAAGUUCAGUUCCUGGAGCAUCAUUCUUGAGAUGAAAACCAAUCAAUAAUAAUUACAGCUCUGUGUAACAACCUGUAAUUUUUCCUGCAGAAACCUGGAAAAUCCUGUUAUCAAACCUGAAAUAUUUCCUAUUUUGUUUAUGUAGGCAAUGGUAGUAAACAAGAAGUGGUUUAUGUCUGCUGAGUAAGAGAAAAUUGACAUUUUUAAAGCAAAGCAAUUUGAUUAUUAUUUGGCCUGUGUGUGAGUUUCAAAAAAGGACAUGCUGGCCUAAAAUGAGCUAUUGCUAAAAAAAUUAUUAGGAUGGUUUGAGCUAAACUCGGUGGUUUUUUUACCUAAAUGAAAUACAUGCAAGUAAGAUAGUGCAUACUUAACUUUCAACAGCCACAUUUUGCUCAGAUGUGAAGAAAUUUUGGGCCUGAAAGCAAAAAGUUAUAUUUUUAUCAAAUAUUAUGUGCCCUUAAGGUUAGUUCAUGUAACUUAGGGUUAUUAUACCACUAAGUAAAAAAAAAAAAGAGAAAAAUAAUGUAGUGCUAAGGUAGAUGAUCAUCUGCAUUAAGUCAUUUCCUUACAACUGCAUUCUGAGCCUUAUAUUCAUUAGCUUUGCAGAGCAUCCAACUGCAACAUUUAGUGAAUAAUGCAAUCACAAAAUAGCAUAUCCUGAUAAAUGGAAUAAUGGAUGGGGUCUCUAGAAAUUAGUAUUCACAAAAUAGCAUAUCCUGGUAAAUGGAAUAAUGGAUGGGCUCUCUAGAAAUCAGUAUGCACACACAGAAGGAGAGACAGGGCAGAAGGUGGAAACCCCUUCCACCCCCAAGUUUUCUCAAGAUGUUUCUUUGGCUCAUUAAUUAUUCAUGAACGUCUUCUAUUCUCGUAUGUAAUCCAAGAAUUAGCCUCUCAGGUUGGUUGUUUGUAACAGUGAGUAAUACCCUCUAGUGGUACACAUAGGAAAAGGAGCUAGACAAAGUGAUUAAUUCUUUUUUCAUUGUGAAAGAGGCUAAGUAAGGUUGCAUUUAAAUAACAUAACCCUAUCUCUUUGUAUAACACAGGGCAUCACUGGUCUGUCUAGAGGUGCUGCUUAAAAUGGAAAAUGCACUGCAUUGAAUUAGAUGUCAGAAACAAUCACUUUAAUCACUUGUUUGCAGGGGGAACAAAUUGCCAUUGCAGUCUGGAAGGAGUGGUUCUAGAGACUCCCAGGUCAGAGAGGUAUGUCCUUACAUCUGAAGGCUACAUUUAAUUCCAACACAUUACAAGUAACACUGUAGCCAAAAAAAGGAAUAUUUAUCAGUCUCUAACAUUGCAGUGUAAUAAAAUCUGUAUUUCCAGACCCUGUGUUCAGUCCAGAGUUCACUAUCAAAAAAUUUUCUGAAAAAGCUCAUGAUCAGGGUUUCCUGCAGUUACCAGGUCUUUUGUUUUAUUUGCCAGUUGGCAAAUGUUCAGAGAUGGAGGUGACAACUGACAGUGCUGAAGAAUGGACUCCAACAAAUGCCCCUCUUAACCAGAAAAAGCUAUUGAACUUCUUUAAACAAAUGUGCAAAUACUCUUGACUCUUUUUCCAGAAGCCCAGUCUACUAAGGCAGAGUAAUUGAGGUCUGUUUUGAAAUCAUCUUUGCUUCCAUAAACAAUACCCCCAAGUAGGGGGAAUAUCCAGGAAGUGGAUGACACUUGCCUACUCCCAUGUCACUCUGAUUGUCACUGGUUUUGCCUUUCUGCAAGUCCAUUAUUGCUAUAAGAUUUAAAAGCUUUUGGGAGUUUUUCAGGAUUUUCUGGUGCAGUGAUUACUCCACCCCUCCUAGAGGAAGGAUCUCAGUGUUCAGUAUCACACUGGGUCAGACUUUAAAUCAGCUUCUAACCUAAUGUUAAGCAAGAUGGGAGUCAGGAACCUAUUAUUUUAAGGUCCCAUGAAGGAAGGAUUUACUGUGCCUUAUCUUUCUCAGCUGUAGUUCCUGGCAUUAGUUCAGCUACUGCAGAGUCUUGGACCAGUGUAAUCUUCAAUAUUUCUUGUCAUCUCAUUCUUUACUUCUUUUGCUGUGGCAAACUAAUCUCUGUUCUCUUUAUUCUCUUGUAAAGCAUAUAGUAAAAGAAUGUAAAAAUUGCCCAUCUCCCAGGCUGGAGUAACUUUGCCAAUCCUGCUGCAGGAUAUAAUGAAACUUUCAGCCACCACAUCACUGUUAAUAAAACGGAGACAGCAGUUAAAAAAGUACUGACAAGAAUUUAUUAAUUUAUGGUUGAGAACAAUAAAAUGUGUCUGACAGUGGAAUGAUGAGAUUGCCAUAUUCUGUACAGAGAGAUUUUUCUAGAAAUCUUCAUUCCACUGUGUUGACAGAACUUGCAGUAUAGAAGUUCAGGAGUGGGUGUCAGUUCACAGACUCUCAGCCAGUUACAAGGAUGGCUGCAUGCCCAGAUGAAAUGAAGGUUCAGACUUUCCUUCUACUCUUCCUGUUUCUGUAUGUUCACUCUUGCUGAAAAACUAAUCAAGCUGUCUGACACCUGGCACAGGAGGGCAGCACUACGUGUUACCUUCCUGUAUUAAGCUGGCUAGGAAGUUUUAUUACCCAAAAGAAAAGGAAAAAAAAAAUCUCAAGAAGCUAUUUUGAGCUAAAAGCUGGAAGGAAAGAAGCUAGUCAAGCUGAGCCUUCUGUGCUUUUUUUUUCUGUCCAUGCUGAAGGCUGAGAAAAGCCUCUUUCAAAGUACAAGAACCUCUAUACAACUGGGGGGAAAUGGCAUUGUGUGGUUACUUUAAAAACGCUGCUUCUGGCAGGUGGGCAGGUACUGGCUGUAAGUGCAUUUUGUGCAGGACACUUGCAGAUGGGUAGAUAUUGACUGUGAAUGGCAUUUUGUGCGGAACACUUAUUUUUAAAACCUUUAAAUACUUUUAUGAUAUAAGAAAGACAUAUAAAAUCUCUCAAGUACUUUCCCCAAGCCUUAAUUUCCAAGAAAAGAAAUUAAAGUUUUCUAAUCUUCACUGGAGUUGUCGAAUUCCUCCCAGUCUGAUACACUCAUAACUUCUGGUGGAAAGUCAAGAUGAUGCUUCAUUCGGUCUGCGUGCCACUCUGAGAGCCACUUCUCUGUUUCCAUUAAAAUAGCCCUGGGCAACGUGAGGACACAGGCAGCCAUCCCAGAAAUAUCAUCCUCCAGCUGGGGUCCUUCCUCCCAACAGUCUCUCUCUGCAUCAUAGAUGUGCACAUAGUCCAUGCGGAUUCCCCUGUUGUGGGAUCUGCCUCCCAAGACAUAAAUCCUGUUGUCUAAGACUGCAAUGCCUGGCUCUCCGUGUCCUGCAGGAAGUGGACAUACAUUUGUCCACUGAUCAGUGCUUGGCUUAUAGCAGGCAACCUGUAAAACAAAAAAAGAAAAGAGAGAAGGCAAAACUGGACUUGUAUCCUAGUGGCAGAGCCUGGCCAUAAGGUAAACUAUUUAGGAAAGAAUAUUAUCAGUCUUUUGACAGUGUGUUGAUAAUGGAGACAGCAUGUGACUGUCUAAUACAGGUACAGUGCUCAGCAGAAAAUUGUACACAGUUGCCACAUAGCUUUGAAAUCACAAGUUCUGACCCUGCUGCUGGAGUAACAGUUGUAUGUCAUUCCAAAAAUGUAUACAACAGUGAAAGAGAUGGGGACAUGUGCUAAUAUAAGCCCAGACAUAGUUCACCAGUUGCAUUAGAGAAGAAAUGCUGGAACAUACAAAUAUGACAAAUCUGCUGAGUUGUCUCUGCACCAUAUGUUGGAGAGUUUCAGAUUUCAUUGGGUAACUGCUUUCAUUUGUAGGCACCUUCUUAUCAUUCAGACACACUCUUCAGCUAGGUUUAAUUCUGCCAUCUCCACUGGCUCUAUAAAAACAGUUACUUUUUGUAUCUUUUCAAGUCUCUAGCCAUUCUAGAACCUGGAAUAAGGUUCAAGAGAAUCCUCUCCAGAUGUCCCUUACCAUACUGUACAUUUUAAUUGCAUUAUACAACUGCCAUCCAACACAUCCUUAACAGCUCUGCACACUGGUAAUUCAAAAGUCCUCCACUAUAAAAAAUGAAAAAAGCCUCUUUCAAAGUAUAAGAACCUCGACACAACUGGGGGGAAAUGGCAUUGUGUGGUUACUUUACAAACGCUGCUUUCUGGCAGGUGGGCAAGUACCCACCUGCCAGAAAGAGAGCAUAAAGUAAAUUUAACUGAUGUGCUGCUUACUGGGCAUGUGCAUGCCAAUGAAGUUAUCCAUUAGAGAUGAUUUAAAAUUGAUUGAGUUCCAAGUGCUAGAGCUUUAAUGCUUUGUGGGUGAGACAAAGACUUCAAGACAGCCAACGGUGAAUAAAUCAUUGCCAGUUCUGCAGGUGAGUGGGGAAGAGCUCGUCUAGCUGAGCAGGCAGUUUUAUUUGCAUACUUAGUAGGAGAAAUACAUUACACCUAAGUGCCAGCAUGCAGAAGAAGCCAAGAUCAGAGAGAGGUGUGACGUGGUCUCACCUGGUGAACGUCCCUCCUGUAGCCAGAGUCGUUGUUGCUGCCGCCGAUGACGUAGAGCUUCCCCAGCAGCGCGGCCAUGCCGUGCCACGCGCGCCUCACGGGGCCGUCCGCCAGCACGUCCCAGCGGUCAGUCCUGGGGUCGUAGCACUGCAGCUCCUUCAGGUAGUCCUCUCCUCUCCUCCCACACGUGAUGUACAUCUUCCCAUCCAGCGCUGCUCCCGCGUGGGCGUACACCUGCAGCACCAACGGCAAAGCAAGGCUUGAGGUCUGCAUGGUGUGUUUCUCCCGGUUUUGAAGCAGGGAAUGGACAUGAAGGGAGUGACAUUGUUCACGAGUUAUGCAGAGAUCAAAAGCAGAAAGGAUUUUCUUAUGGACAGUUCUUUCUGAGAUAUUAUAAUUGUGAAUUUCUGAAUGAAACGCACUAGAAUUUCCAAAAGUUCCAAAACUGCAGCAUUCUGUCUUUAUUGUUCCUUCAUACUAUAACACUGCUCCCUAAUCUACUUGAAAGCCUUUUUACUGGUGAUUUUUCUUAUAUACAAUCUUUCUUUUUAAGAUAUUAUAAUUGUGAAUUUCUGAAUGAAACGCACUAGAAUUUCCAAAAGUUCCAAAACUGCAGCAUUCUGUCUUUAUUGUUCCUUCAUACUAUAACACUGCUCCCUAAUCUACUUGAAAGCCUUUUUACUGGUGAUUUUUCUUAUAUACAAUCUUUCUUUUUAAGAUAUUAUAAUUGUGAAUUUCUGAAUGAAACACACUAGAAUUUCUAAAAGUUCCAGAACUGCAGCAUUCUCUGUCUUUAUUGUUCCUUCAUACUAUAACUUUACUCCCUAAUCUACUUGAAAGCCUUUUUAUUGGUGAUUUUUCUUAUAUACAAUCUUUCUAAGAUAGUAUAAUUGUGAAUUUCUGAAUGAAACACACUAGAAUUUCUAAAAGUUGCAAAA
Long non-coding RNA from Passer domesticus (house sparrow), 8290 nucleotides. RefSeq lists it as uncharacterized. The record is from RefSeq and is a predicted model, not a curated record. NCBI's taxonomy places the organism in Eukaryota, Metazoa, Chordata, Aves, Passeriformes, Passeridae. The transcript has 2 exons.